This 366-nucleotide unclassified non-coding RNA is filed under the name Hevea brasiliensis (rubber tree). Lineage: Eukaryota; Viridiplantae; Streptophyta; Magnoliopsida; Malpighiales; Euphorbiaceae. The record is from RNAcentral.
GAAAUAGUAGAUAGUAACAAAAAUAAUACCACUAAUAAUAGGACAGUGACUACGACAAAUAAUUGCAUAACUUGACAUUUAAGUAGUUACAAGAGCAACAUUAUAACUACUACCUAUUAACCUUCUAUCUAAUUAUCUCUUCUCAAUACUUAUUCGAUUUACCUCUACAUGAAACUUUUAUAGGUUACAAUGUAUGUAUUAAUUUGAGUAGUAUUUGUGACCUCUUUAGAGUGAUUUCUCAUCCUAUAAUUGGAAUGCUAUUUGCCUUUGAAAGACGAAAAAUUCUUUCCCCUUUCUAUAUCUCGUCUAUAAUGUCUUAGUUUGUAGUGUUCCACUUACUAUUAAUUUACAACACUAAAUAAGUUC